This 374-nucleotide ribosomal RNA is filed under the name uncultured microorganism. Its description in RNAcentral is "bacterial SSU rRNA". It matches the Rfam family "Bacterial small subunit ribosomal RNA", at positions 9 to 376 of the family's 1533-position model. The record is from RNAcentral.
GAGUUUGAUCAUGGCUCAGAGUGAACGCUGGCGGUAGGCCUAACGCAUGCAAGUCGAACGGCAGCACAGUAAGAGCUUGCUCUUACGGGUGGCGAGUGGCGGACGGGUGAGGAAUACAUCGGAAUCUACUUUUUCGUGGGGGAUAACGUAGGGAAACUUACGCUAAUACCGCAUACGACCUACGGGUGAAAGCAGGGGAUCUUCGGACCUUGCGCGAUUGAAUGAGCCGAUGUCGGAUUAGCUAGUUGGCGGGGUAAAGGCCCGACCAAGGCGACGAUCCGUAGCUGGUCUGAGAGGAUGAUCAGCCACACUGGAACUGAGACACGGUCCGGACUCCUGCGGGAGGCAGCAGUGGGGAAUAUUGGACAAUGGGC